CGGGGAAAAUGGUUGUUGUGCACCCGGGCGCCGCGGGGAGGAGGGGCAGCAUUGGCACGAGUGGGCGGAGGGGGUUGCGCGGCGUCUUCCCCUGGGCCGAGCGGAAGGAAGAUCCCAUGACCCUAAAACUCAACCACCGGAGAGCGGCAGUCAGAGCGGCUGCGGAUGCCCUGGCCUGGGAACGGUGUUUUGAGGAGAGAAUGGAGAUCUGUGUGUUGCCCAACUUCAUGGCAAGAUGAAGAGAAGGGACUGGAUCUGCUUGUUCAGAAAUAUUGCAGGCUCAUUUAAGAAUCUAUGGUGGUGUCUGAUAUACUGAAUCAGAAUAAGGAAGUCGGCACAGGCCUCCGCAUUUCCGGAGAGACAGCGUGGUGUUGCUUAGAACGGUGAACAGCACAAGAAAAAAAUACCAAGACGAUGCCCUCGCCUCUUCCCGUAGCCCACAAGCUCAGCGACACCAGCUCAGGUUCCACCAUCCUGGGUACAGAAACCUCGAUUCUAGGGCACAGGCAGGCAAUGGAAAUAGAGAAAUCCUUCGAGGCUGCCUCUUGACCCACUGGGCGAGCCGACACCACCCUUUGGAAGGGGCAGAGAAAAGUGCAGGCGCAAAGGCGACGGUAGUCAUAGUCCCAGGCCUGGCAAACGCCACUUUCUCCGCUCAGAUCAGGAUCCCGCCGCGCUGCCGCCAACCGAGGGGUGAUCUGGCGCGGCAUUGGGAUUAUUUGGUCUCCGGACCCGAUUCGGAUGUCGGAGCUUCGGGAUUGCUGGGUGGAAACGUUUGGGAUUCUGACAGUUGAAAUACAGACGGCAGGAACCAACCAAAAAAAAACAGCUACACGAAACAGACAUUUCGGUUACAA
Tupaia belangeri chinensis (Chinese tree shrew) is the source of this 857-nucleotide long non-coding RNA. RefSeq lists it as uncharacterized. The transcript is spliced from 3 exons. Lineage: Eukaryota; Metazoa; Chordata; Mammalia; Scandentia; Tupaiidae. The record is from RefSeq and is a predicted model, not a curated record.